AUUGAACGCUGGCGGCAGGCCUAACACAUGCAAGUCGAGCGGAUGAAGGGAGCUUGCUCCUGGAUUCAGCGGCGGACGGGUGAGUAAUGCCUAGGAAUCUGCCUGGUAGUGGGGGAUAACGUCCGGAAACGGGCGCUAAUACCGCAUACGUCCUGAGGGAGAAAGUGGGGGAUCUUCGGACCUCACGCUAUCAGAUGAGCCUAGGUCGGAUUAGCUAGUUGGUGGGGUAAAGGCCUACCAAGGCGACGAUCCGUAACUGGUCUGAGAGGAUGAUCAGUCACACUGGAACUGAGAAACGGUCCAGACUCCUACGGGAGGCAGCAGUGGGGAAUAUUUGACAAUGGGCGAAAGCCUGAUCCAGCCAUGCCGCGUGUGUGAAGAAGGUCUUCGGAUUGUAAAGCACUUUAAGUUGGGAGGAAGGGCAGUAAGUUAAUACCUUGCUGUUUUGACGUUACCAACAGAAUAAGCACCGGCUAACUUCGUG
Molecule: ribosomal RNA, 484 nt
Filed under: uncultured bacterium
Lineage: Bacteria
Description: partial 16S ribosomal RNA
Rfam family: Bacterial small subunit ribosomal RNA
Source: RNAcentral